Molecule: ribosomal RNA, 459 nt
Filed under: uncultured bacterium
Lineage: Bacteria
Description: partial 16S ribosomal RNA
Rfam family: Bacterial small subunit ribosomal RNA
Source: RNAcentral
CCUACGGGAGGCAGCAGUGAGGAAUAUUGGUCAAUGGACGAGAGUCUGAACCAGCCAAGUAGCGUGAAGGAUGACUGCCCUAUGGGUUGUAAACUUCUUUUAUAUGGGAAUAAAAUGUUCCACGUGUGGGAUUUUGUAUGUACCCUAUGAAUAAGGAUCGGCUAACUCCGUGCCAGCAGCCGCGGUAAUACGGAGGAUCCGAGCGUUAUCCGGAUUUAUUGGGUUUAAAGGGUGCGCAGGCGGAAGAUCAAGUCAGCGGUAAAAUUGAGAGGCUCAACCUCUUCGAGCCGUUGAAACUGGUGUUCUUGAGUGAGCGAGAAGUAUGCGGAAUGCGUGGUGUAGCGGUGAAAUGCAUAGAUAUCACGCAGAACUCCGAUUGCGAAGGCAGCAUACCGGCGCUCAACUGACGCUCAUGCACGAAAGUGUGGGUAUCGAACAGGAUUAGAUACCCUUGUAGUC